Molecule: ribosomal RNA, 240 nt
Filed under: uncultured Lactobacillus sp.
Lineage: Bacteria; Bacillati; Bacillota; Bacilli; Lactobacillales; Lactobacillaceae
Description: partial 16S ribosomal RNA
Rfam family: Bacterial small subunit ribosomal RNA
Source: RNAcentral
UAACCUGCCCAAGAGAUCGGGAUAACACCUGGAAACAGAUGCUAAUACCGGAUAACAACAGAUGAUGCCUAUCAACUGUUUAAAAGAUGGUUCUGCUAUCACUCUUGGAUGGACCUGCGGUGCAUUAGCUAGUUGGUAGGGUAACGGCCUACCAAGGCGAUGAUGCAUAGCCGAGUUGAGAGACUGAUAGGCCACAUUGGGACUGAGACACGGCCCAAACUCCUACGGGAGGCAGCAGGC